This is a long non-coding RNA of Chelonoidis abingdonii (Abingdon island giant tortoise), 242 nucleotides long. RefSeq lists it as uncharacterized. The record is from RefSeq and is a predicted model, not a curated record. Lineage: Eukaryota; Metazoa; Chordata; Testudines; Testudinidae.
AGUAGAACUAAUACGAUAACCAAAAAGAUCAUAAUUUAGAUCUCUCCUUUUAGGAUUUUGGCACUCCAGGAAAAUUUCCUCCUUCAAUUUAAAAUGGAUGCUUGUAGUACAGAAGAAAGGAAGAAUGAUUUUGAGAAAAUCUUUGCACACUACGAUGUUAGUAAAACAGGAGAACUGGAAGGUCCAGAAGUGGAUGGGUUUGUCAAAGAUAUGAUGGAGCUUGUCAAGGUGGCUUCAGGAUU